GACGAACGCUGGCGGCGUGCCUAACACAUGCAAGUCGAACGAAGCAUUUAAGUGAAUCCCUUCGGGGUGAAGCUUUUAUGACUUAGUGGCGGACGGGUGAGUAACGCGUGAGUAACCUGCCUUUCAGAGGGGGACAACAGUUGGAAACGACUGCUAAUACCGCAUAACAUGUGACUGUGGCAUCACAGACACAUCAAAGAUUUAUCGCUGAAAGAUGGGCUCGCGUUGGAUUAGAUAGUUGGUGAGGUAACGGCUCACCAAGUCGACGAUCAGUAGCCGGUCUGAGAGGAUGAACGGCCACAUUGGGACUGAGAUACGGCCCAGACUCCUACGGGAGGCAGCAGUGGGGAAUAUUGGGCAAUGGGGGAAACCCUGACCCAGCAACGCCGCGUGAAGGAAGAAGGCCCUCGGGUUGGUAAACUUCUUUUACCAGGGACGAAGGACGUGACGGUACCUGGAGAAAAAGCAACGGCUAACUACGUG
RNAcentral lists this ribosomal RNA (483 nucleotides) under uncultured bacterium. Its description in RNAcentral is "bacterial SSU rRNA". It matches the Rfam family "Bacterial small subunit ribosomal RNA", at positions 28 to 507 of the family's 1533-position model. The record is from RNAcentral.